Molecule: ribosomal RNA, 399 nt
Filed under: uncultured bacterium
Lineage: Bacteria
Description: bacterial SSU rRNA
Rfam family: Bacterial small subunit ribosomal RNA
Source: RNAcentral
AAUCAACGCUGGCGGCGUGCCUCAGACAUGCAAGUCGAACGCGAAAGUUUCCUUCGGGAAACAAGUAGAGUGGCGCACGGGUGAGUAACACGUAGGUAAUCUACCUUCGGAUGGGGAAUAACAAUCGGAAACGAUUGCUAAUACCGCAUAAUGCAGCGGCACCUAAUGGUGACAGUUGUUAAAGCGGGGGAUCGAAAGACCUCGCGUCUGAAGAGGAGCCUGCGGCGGAUUAGCUAGUUGGUAAGGUAAUGGCUUACCAAGGCUACGAUCCGUAACCGGCCUGAGAGGGCGGUCGGUCACACUGACACUGACAUACGGGUCAGACUCCUACGGGAGGCAGCAGUCGGGAAUUUUGGGCAAUGGGCGAAAGCCUGACCCAGCAACGCCGCGUGAAGGAUG